CGAGCGAGCGAUUUGAAAAUUUUAAUAAAAAAAUAUUUAAUUUGUAAAUUUUUUAGGCGAAGCUUGAAAAGUAAAGGCGAGCGAUUAUAAUUUUUUUUUGUAACCAUAAAAUAGUAGGUUUUGACAAUAUGAAAACUUGAUUUAUCACUUGUACUUUGACAUUUCUUUAAUUUCUGAGGUAUUUUUUCCCUGUUCACCAAGAAAUAAUUAAAUCUGGUCUAUGUAUGUGUGCCUGACAAUGAGACAAUUCUCCAACCAAGUCAUAAUCAGUUUGGGGGCAAUCCCUUAAAGUUAUAAAUAUUCUUUUUACAUGUUUUAUGAGGGAUCAAUAUAAGUUAUAAUAUAUUUGUUUGUACAAAAGGGCUCAUAUUUUCUCAAAGAACUAUAUAUCUAUCUGGUAUUAAAUGGUCAAAACAUGUCCAAGAAUUUUG
This 431-nucleotide long non-coding RNA is filed under the name Mytilus galloprovincialis (Mediterranean mussel). The record is from RNAcentral. Lineage: Eukaryota; Metazoa; Mollusca; Bivalvia; Mytilida; Mytilidae.